This 437-nucleotide ribosomal RNA is filed under the name uncultured Gammaproteobacteria bacterium. Its description in RNAcentral is "bacterial SSU rRNA". It matches the Rfam family "Bacterial small subunit ribosomal RNA", at positions 1089 to 1525 of the family's 1533-position model. The record is from RNAcentral. Lineage: Bacteria; Pseudomonadati; Pseudomonadota; Gammaproteobacteria.
CGUACGAGCGCACCCCUAUCCUUACUUGCUAACGGGUAAUGCUGAGAACUUUAAGGAGACUGCCGGUGAUAAACCGGAGGAAGGUGGGGACGACGUCAAGUCAUCAUGGCCCUUAUGGGUAGGGCUACACACGCUGCUACAAUGGUCGGUACAAAGGGUUGCAAGACGGCGACGUUAAGCUAAUCUCAAAAAGCCGAUCUCAGUCCGGAUUGGAGCCUGCAACUCGACUCCAUGAAGUUGGAAUCGCUAGUAAUCGCGAAUCAGAAUGUCGCGGUGAAUACGUUCUCGGGCCUUGUACACACCGCCCGUCACACCAUGGGAGUGAGUUGUACCAGAAGUGGGUAGACUAACCGCAAGGGGGUCGCUUACCACGGUAUGGUUCAUGACUGGGGUGAAGUCGUAACAAGGUAGCCGUAGGGGAACCUGCGGCUGGAUCA